Molecule: long non-coding RNA, 3101 nt
Organism: Macrobrachium nipponense
Lineage: Eukaryota; Metazoa; Arthropoda; Malacostraca; Decapoda; Palaemonidae
Exons: 3
Source: RefSeq, a predicted model, not a curated record
UCUCGAGUCUACUCAGCGUCAUCAUUGUUGUCAAAUCGAGUCUUAAGACGUCGAAGAUUUCAUGUUUUAGAUCUGUUGGUAUUAAUUUCUUAAAACUUGGGUAUCAUUGAAAUUCCUCAUUAGACUCUGCUUGGUAAAGCAUAAACAUCAGGCCCACAACAAAUGCUGAGGAAAAUGUCUCCAGCUUGCGUGCAUGAAUUGGACAAGUUCUGCAGACAACUACCACACUUGAAUUACACAAGCCUUGUUAACAUUGUAAUAUGUCCCUCACCAUCAUCGUUUGUCACCUUUUGCAUCUAAUGUUUCUGUUCCUGUUGAUUGGUUCAAGAACCUCUUGUGUCGUAAGUGCGAGUAGCAAAAUCUGAAGGGUCUCUUGGCUGAUGCCAUGUCUACUAGUGGAAAUCAGGAAUUAUUUAAUUUACAGAGGCAUUCUAGAGCUGUUAGGUUUGCAAUUAUAAAAACUGGAAGCCCCCUCACUCAAAAAAAUUAUUGCUAAUAAAUUAAAAUCAAGUUAACUCAUUUGAGGUUCAAACACAGACCUAAGUUCAGAUAGAUGUUCAGACGGUGCCUCUACUGAAGUACCUAAGGUACUCCCAUUGCUGAAUAAACUCUGGUUCCAUGCAAAGUAAAAACAUCGUACAAACAAUCGAUAAGUUGUCAGUAGGACGAGAGGUAAAAAUAGAUUCGAGGAAAUUUAAAAUAUGGCAAAAUUUGUUGAAAGGCAAGCUUUGUUAGAACCAGGUUUUGCCAUUUUAAAAGCCCUGUUUAUGUGGUAGUUGCCAAAUAGUAUAAAGUUACGACAUAACCAAGUUAUGUGAAGUGAAUGCCAUAAAAUCAAGUAAUUCUGGUGAAUGCCUUAGAUUGGUGGCCGCGAGUUCGAUUCUCUGGCAUUCCACUGAGGGGUUAGAGAUUUUGUAUUUCUGGUGAGAUAAGUUCGCUCCCGACGUGGUUUGGAAGUCAUGUCAAGCCGUUGGUCCCGUUGCUGAAUAACCACUGGUUCCAUGCAACGUAAAAACGCCAUACAAACAAACUAUGCCUUAGACCACCUUAAAAUAUGUUUUACUGAUGAUUUUAUAAGAAUAGUGUAGCGUUAUCUGUAGGAAAAUUGCUUCCCAACAAAAGGGAAAAAUAGUCUAAGGCCAACGAUUGAACGUGGAGGGAGUAUAUACUUAUUAGGGAGACGUAAAAAUGAACUCCAUUUUCUUUUAGGAUGUAACAAGGUAGUUUUAAAUGAAAUCCAAAGGUCAUGGUGGCUAAAGGCCUGUCCACGUGAGCGGGCGUGAUCGGCGUGCUCCGGGGUUGACGGGUAAAUUCUGGCGGGCUCACCUGUGAAUGUUGUCCACAUGGGUGAGGCGAUGGAGAGAUGGGCGUGCCCGACCAUUCCAGCAGUGUCUUCAGUGCGGUACGAUAAACAUGGGGCCUACCGCAAAGAUAAUUGCUUUGUGUGUGAUGAAAAAGAAAAAAGAAAUAUGGUGCAAAGAAUGGCUCAGUAAAAGAAAUGCAUAAUGGUUAACGUACGUCUGCCAGGGUCGAAGCUCAAGCCAUCGGGCACCACCAUGGUGAUUUUGCUACAAGACCCAUCGGGCAAUUUGACGGUUUGCCCGUCAAGUGUGCCCAUUAGAGGGGAAGUCCGCCGAUCAGGCCCGAUCGUGUGGACAGGCCUUAACACAGUCCAUCGUCUGUACAGUUGUGACGUCAUAGAGUUACGGCAGACCCUGAGAUAGCAUUUUAUUGGGUAGGCUUAAAAAUAAACCCAUCCCCGGUGGUAGCGGGUUCCAUGCUCGGCCAUUCCAAUGAGGAGCGAGAGAUGUGUAUUUCUGGUGAUAGAAGUUUACUCUCGACAUGGUUCGGAAGUCACGUAAAGCCGUUGGUCCCGUUGCUGAAUAACCUCUGGUUCCAUGUAACAUAAAAGCACCAUACAAACAAACAUAUCCCGUUUUUAAUCGGCAGUUUUAAAUCCUUACUCUGUUUGAACAACCGUAUUAAGACCUUUCGCAGGGGGCUCUGAUGACAUCAUAAAGUAGCUGUGUAAGUAAAAAAAAAAAAGUGAAUUGGCAGAUUGUAAUUUGUAUUCUAUUCAUGAUUGCUGGCUGUGGUAUCUUAUUAAAAUAUAAUGAGAGGUAAUAAAGACUCCGAAAUUCAAUUACAUAGUUGCGAUUAUUUUUUUUUUUUUGUCCCGGAGCCAGCAUUGCAGUGCCUAGAGAAGGGAGUGUCCUCAGCCUGAAAAAUUAUACCCAUUCACCAGCUUCAAAUUAACGCAGACUCAAAGACCUAUUUCCUAAGCUGAGAACAGACUGCCUAUGCAAGAAAAGCCCCUAAAUACUUUCUUUGAGUUUUCCCAGAUGAAUUCCCGUUUUCUCUGUACUAAACGUUAGACCCUUAUAAAUGUAUAUUUAUUAGGCAUUUUCUUCAUUAAUUAAUUCAUGAACCAUUUUCUUCAUGCACUUAUUAACUCUCUUAUAAUUUAAUUUAUUUACUUUCCAUUACGGCGCUGAAUGGCUUCUUUGGCCCCAGUGCCUGGGCUUUUGCCCUAAAACUCAUACAUCCAUCCUAGUAAAUAUCAAAGAAAACUUAUGUACAGAACUCCAAGGGGGUAAGGCAUCAAGUUGCCACUAAAACAGGCUUAUGAUGACUCUCAUAAGGCUGCGAUUUUGUUCUUGGCAUAAGCUCUACUUAAAUGUGAAACUCCCGUAGAGUUCUACAUCCAGAAUUUCGUUCAGAUGUUUUAAGUAUAAUGGCCAGAAAACCCCAUGAAUCCAGUUCCUCUAUCUUAGAAAAACAAAUGCAGUUCUUGUUAGACUUCAUUGCCCAGGAUUCCCUUACGUCUUACUAUAGAAAACGGGUCUCAUUCCCCUUCAUAGAAAACUGAGAAACACUAGUCAAAGGAUGAGAUACUACGAUACGUAUUCAUGCGUCUUGACCACUUAUAAACUGACUUAGCAACUGACAAAAUUCUUGUCUUGAGAGCUUUGAUGGGUAAUAGAUUUAUAUUAAUAAAUAUGAACAUUUAUCCUUAUUUUCAGCGAUAUUUACAUGUAAACCACUUAUUUUUUCACAGUGGAAUAAACUAGAAUAAGUAGUCCUAGGCAUAUACCCAACCA